RNAcentral lists this ribosomal RNA (496 nucleotides) under uncultured bacterium. RNAcentral's name for it is "partial 16S ribosomal RNA". It matches the Rfam family "Bacterial small subunit ribosomal RNA", at positions 899 to 1397 of the family's 1533-position model. The record is from RNAcentral.
ACUCAAAUGAAUAGACGGGGGCCCGCACAAGCGGUGGAGCAUGUGGUUUAAUUCGACGCAACGCGAAGAACCUUACCCAGGCUUGACAUGCAUCGGACCGGCGUUGAAAGACGCCUUCCCCUCGGGGCCGGUGCACAGAUGCUGCAUGGCUGUCGUCAGCUCGUGUCGUGAGAUGUUGGGUUAAGUCCCGCAACGAGCGCAACCCUUGUCGCUAGUUGCCAUCAUUCAGUUGGGCACUCUAGUGAGACUGCCGGUGGUGAACCGGAGGAAGGUGGGGAUGACGUCAAGUCCUCAUGGCUCUUACGCCUGGGGCUACACACGUGCUACAAUGGCCGGUACAAAGGGUCGCAAUGCCGCGAGGUGGAGCCAAUCCCAAAAAGCCGGCCUCAGUUCGGAUCGGAGUCUGCAACUCGACUCCGUGAAGUCGGAAUCGCUAGUAAUCGCUGAUCAGCAGGCAGCGGUGAAUACGUUCCCGGGCCUUGUACACACCGCCCGU